UCGGCGGUGGCGAUUGGUGGAUCUGCAAAUGAUGCGGCUGCGCGUAAAACGACGUGCACGGUGCAACGGUCACAGUGGAAACUGCGCCGCUCAGCGAGCUUUGCGCGAGUCGCCUGCACAGCCUCGAAAAAACGUGGAAUGGAGCUCAGGGAAAACUGGCUGAUUGCUUUGACGGUCCCGCUGCUGCGCGCAGGUGCUGCAGGAGAAAAGAAAACUGCGGUCACCAAAGGAUUUAGGACCGCUGUCAAACGGUAGAGGUCCCCAUAACAACAACAACAACAGAGACCAUAUGGCCUGUGAAAACAAACACUGACUGAAAUGCAACACCACAUUGUGCUGCAUUUCAGGGUUUGGUCAGACCUGAUCUAAAUCUGCUUCGUGGUCACCGGCUAUAGUGCUGCACCCUCUGUGGAAGGUAAACACAGCAGAUGGGAGCGUAAUCCGAGAUUCUGAUGCACGUGGGGUUUAUUUAAUAGGUGUUGUGUUGAAGGAGAAGUGUUCACACGUUCCUCCUGCUGCUCCUUGUUUUUCUCACAUGAUAUGAAAGACCAAGGAGCAAAGAAGGGAGGAGCAAUGCAUUAGUUAUUUGCACUGGACUGGAAAGGGAAAAAAGAAAGUCUCUCAUAACCAAGGAUUUGAAUGAAUACCCAGAUAUUCUUUGACGUUUUAAUUUAACAUGCCAUCUUAAUUAUUUAAAAUACCAAGAUAUUUAUCAUGUUAGUUUUUUGCCUACACUGCCCUUUUGCUAACAGUAUCUUCAGACUAGGAAAACACAUUGAAAGCAUCUGUUUGCACCCAAACAAAGUAUGAAUGAGCUGUCAUUCUUCCACAAAAUAAGAUACAUACAAUAACAUAAGACUACACGAUUAGUACACACAAAGACACAAAGGCAGCCUUUGGUAAAAUUGUUUUAUUAAUCUGAGAAUGUAACACAAUCGGGAAACCGAGAAUUCAAAAUGAGGAAGGAAAAUCCCACAACACUGUGGUUACAAAACAGCAGUUGGGUGUGGUCCCAUGUAACAUAGCACUUUUACUCCAAGCCCUUUCAUUCGGCCACACAGACUGGCAUAUUGCGCUCCCCAACAUGAAACCAAAGCGUGGAUCAGAUGCGGCGACAAAGACCCAUCGCCCCACAGACUCGCCCCAUCCACACAAAUCCACAGACAUCUUGUCCUCUUGUUAUUGAAAACAAAUGAUUAAUUUGUAUCUUUGGUCUGCCAUCUCCCAGGUCUCCAACACCACCCACUUAGACCAUAAGGAAACCGAGGACGAGGCUAAUUUGUUCAUAUAAUAAAUUAUUAUUUUAAAAAACUUUGAAUUUUUGUAUUAUUUCAAAACCUUUACCAAUUACUUGUAAAAUGCAUUAACACAUACAUUCAAUCAGAAAGGCAGAUAUACACUUCAUAUGAUUAAUGCUCCUGAAUCAUAAAAUGUACUGAAAUUUAACUGACUUAACGUUACAAAAACAGAGCAAAAUACUAUUUGAUUUUGAUGAUUCAAAUCUAUAAGCAACCAUACAAAUAAAAAAGAUAUGUAAUAGCAUAGAAUGCGAUAUAUAUUCUGUGCAUUGUUCUUUAUCGCAGCCCGAGAGUGUUGUAGGGUGACUGUGAGUUUU
Non-coding RNA from Gasterosteus aculeatus aculeatus (three-spined stickleback), 1615 nucleotides. NCBI's taxonomy places the organism in Eukaryota, Metazoa, Chordata, Actinopteri, Perciformes, Gasterosteidae. The record is from RefSeq and is a predicted model, not a curated record.